Molecule: ribosomal RNA, 253 nt
Filed under: uncultured bacterium
Lineage: Bacteria
Description: partial 16S ribosomal RNA
Rfam family: Bacterial small subunit ribosomal RNA
Source: RNAcentral
GACGUAGGGGGCCAGCGUUGUUCGGAAUUACUGGGCGUAAAGAGCUCGUAGGUGGUUUGUCACGUUGUUCGUGAAAACCCACAGCUCAACUGUGGGCGUGCGAGCGAUACGGGCAGACUAGAGUACUGCAGGGGAGACUGGAAUUCCUGGUGUAGCGGUGAAAUGCGCAGAUAUCAGGAAGAACACCCGUGGCGAAGGCGGCUCUCUGGUACGUGACUGACGCUGAGACGCGAAAGCGUGGGGAGCAAACAGG